CUCGGCAGAAACUAGCCCCUUCAAAACCCCAGUUGAUCGAUCUUUGGUGACCACCAAGGCCACAUGGCACCCCACCUCACAUCGUUUUCACAAAGAAACAAGCAAACGAAUCAAAGAAGAAGUAAUUCCCACAUUUCCACCUUUGAAGCUGGUAAUAUAAAUACAAGGAAAAAGACCUGUUCCUGCCCCCUCCCUCCUUAAAUGAAAAGAAAACGGCCUAGAGAAACACUAGAAGGUUGACGAGCCUUCUUUCAUUUCCCUUCCCCUCCUCUCUCUCUCUCUCAUUGGUAAGUUGUAUUCCCAUUGACAGGAGGAGGAGAAGGUGGCGAUGGGGAUACUGAGCUUGGCAGAGCUAUUCGUGAGCGCGGCGGUGCAUCUGCUAUUCGGAUUCUACGUAUUUAGCACUGCGGUGGCGUCGGACCUCUCGCAGGCCGUGACGGAUCGCUUCAAGCCUAACGCAUUUAAUUU
Molecule: long non-coding RNA, 468 nt
Filed under: Phoenix dactylifera (date palm)
Lineage: Eukaryota; Viridiplantae; Streptophyta; Magnoliopsida; Arecales; Arecaceae
Description: long non-coding RNA (PDAC_LNC016433)
Source: RNAcentral